This 255-nucleotide long non-coding RNA is filed under the name Elaeis guineensis (African oil palm). RNAcentral describes it as "long non-coding RNA (EGUI_LNC049685)". Lineage: Eukaryota; Viridiplantae; Streptophyta; Magnoliopsida; Arecales; Arecaceae. The record is from RNAcentral.
UAACACCUAGUAGUAUAUAGUGACAAUCCAGUAAAAUGAAAGUAUGAACUAUUAGAAAAUCCACUUUAUGAUUUUGUACGUAUAGUUUAAAACUUUUUCUAAAUGUCUAUGCAGCAGAAAUAAAUAAAUUAAAAUAAUUUUAAUUUAUUCACAUACCAGAUCAAAUCUGAAAACUUUAGUAAGGAUCUUGAUACAAAUAUAUAACCACAAUUUGAAAUUUAAAAUAGAAAAACAAACCGUUAGAAAAACAAACAG